RNAcentral lists this ribosomal RNA (253 nucleotides) under uncultured bacterium. RNAcentral's name for it is "partial 16S ribosomal RNA". It matches the Rfam family "Bacterial small subunit ribosomal RNA", at positions 524 to 776 of the family's 1533-position model. The record is from RNAcentral.
UACGUAGGGUGCAAGCGUUGUCCGGAAUUAUUGGGCGUAAAGAGCUCGUAGGUGGCCUGUCGCGUCGGCUGUGAAAACUCGGGGCUCAACUCCGAGCUUGCAGUCGAUACGGGCAGGCUAGAGUUCGGCAGGGGAGACUGGAAUUCCUGGUGUAGCGGUGAAAUGCGCAGAUAUCAGGAGGAACACCGGUGGCGAAGGCGGGUCUCUGGGCAGUAACUGACGCUGAGGAGCGAAAGCGUGGGGAGCGAACAGG